This is a long non-coding RNA of Gasterosteus aculeatus aculeatus (three-spined stickleback), 1783 nucleotides long. NCBI's taxonomy places the organism in Eukaryota, Metazoa, Chordata, Actinopteri, Perciformes, Gasterosteidae. The record is from Ensembl.
GUCCGAUGACCAAGCACUAUUCUCGGACACUGAUGGUUGAGUGGUCGGUGUUAUGGAUGAACCACUUUAACAGAUAAAUUCCAUAGAGCGGGAGUUCCUGGCGGAUAUUCGAUGGUGAAGUACUAUUCUUGGAUUCUGAUGGUUGAGUGGUCGGUAUUAUGGAUAAACAACUUUAGCAGACAAAGUUCCAUUGAGCUUUAGUUCCUGGCGGAUAUCCGAUGACCAGACACUAUUCUCGGACCCUGAUGGUUGAGUGUUCGGUGCUAUGGAUGAACCACUUGAACAGACAAAGUUCCAUAGAGCGGGACUUCCCGGCGGAUAUCCGAUGACCAAGCAAUAUUCUCAGACUCUGAUGGUUAAGUGGUCGGUGUUAUGGAUGAACAACUUUAACAGAAAAAGUUCCAUGGAACGGGGGUUCCCGACCCAUGUCCGAUGACCAAGCAUUAUUCUCUGACUAUGAUGGUUGAGUGGUCGGUGUUAUGGUUGAACCACUUUAACAAAGUUCCAUGGGGCGGGAGUUCCUGGCGGAUAUUCGAAGAUGAAGCACUAUUCUCGGACUCUGAUGGUUGAGUGGUCGGUGUUAUGGAUAAACCACUUUAACCGACAAAGUUCCAUGGAGCGGGGGUUUCCGGCCAAUGUCCGAUGACCAAGCACUAUUCUCGGACUCUGAUGGUUGAGUGGUCGGUGUUAUGGUUGAACCACUUGAACAGAACAAAUUUCCAUAGAGCGGGGGUUCCUGGCGGAUAUUCGAUGAUGAAGCACUAUUCUCGGACUCUAAUGGUUGAGUGGUCGGUGUUAUGGAUAAACCACUUUAACCGACAAAGUUCCAUGGAGCGGGGGUUUCCGGCCAAUGUCCGAUGACCAAGCACUAUUCUCGGACUCUGAUGGUUGAGUGGUCGGUGUUAUGGUUGAACCACAAUAGCAGACAAAGUUCCAAAGAGCAGGAGUUCCCGGCGGAUAUUUGAUGACCAAGCACUAUUCUCGGACUCUGAUGGUUGAGUGGUCGGUGUUAUGGAUAAACCACUUGAACAGAACAAAGUUCCAUAGAGCGGGGGUUUCUGGCAGAUAUCCGAUGAUGAAGCACUAUUCUCGGACUCUGAUGGUUGAGUGGUCGGUGUUAUGGAUGAACCACAAUAGCAGACAAAGUUCCAAAGAGCAGGAGUUCCCGGCGGAUAUUUGAUGAUGAAGCACUAUUCUCGGACUCUGAUGGUUGAGUGGUCGGUGUUAUGGAUAAACCACUUUAACAGAUAAAGUUCCAUGGAGCGGGGGUUCCCGGCCCAUUUACGAUGACCAAGCACUAUUCUCGGACUCUGAUGGUUGAGUGGUCGGUGUUAUGGAUGAACCACUUGAACAGAUCAAAUUUCCAUGGAGCGGGGGUUCCCGGCGCAUAUCCGAUGACCAAGCACUAUUCUCGGACUCUGAUGGUUGAGUGGUCGGUGUUAUGGAUGAACCACUUUAACAGACAAAGUUCAAUAGAGCGGGGGUUCCCGGCCCAUGUCCGAUGACCAAGCACUAUUCUCGGACUCUGAUGGUUGAGUGGUCGGUGUUAUGGAUACACCAUUUGAACAGAACAAAGUUCCAUGGAGCAGGGGAUCCCGGCCCAUGUCCGAUGACCAAGCACUAUUCUCGGACACUGAUGGUUGAGUGGUCGGUGUUAUGGAUGAACCACUUUAACAGAUAAAGUUCCAUGGAGCGGGGGUUCCCGGCGGAUAUCCGAUGACCAAGCAAUAUUCUCAGACUCUGAUGGUUAAGUGGUCGGUGUUAUGGAUGAACUACUUUAGCA